AGUCGAGUGCGCGUGCCGUAGCAAUACGGUAUGGCGCACGGCGCACGGGUGCGUAACACGUGGGCAAUCUGCCCUCCGGUGGGGAAUAACCCCGCGAAAGCGGGGCUAAUUCCGCAUAACAUUCCCUGAACUCUGGUUCGGGGAUUCAAAGCAGCAAUGCGCCGGAGGAGGAGCCCGCGCCCGAUUAGCUAGUUGGCGAGGUGACGGCUCACCAAGGCAAUGAUCGGUAGCUGGUCUGAGAGGAUGGCCAGCCACACUGGAACUGAGACACGGUCCAGACUCCUACGGGAGGCAGCAGUGGGGAAUCUUGCGCAAUGGGCGAAAGCCUGACGCAGCGACGCCGCGUGGGGGAUGAAGCUUCUCGGAGUGUAAACCCCUUUCGACCGGGACGAAUGCCCGCAAGGGAGUGACGGUACCGGUAGAAGAAGCCCCGGCUAACUACGUGCCAGCAGCCGCGGUAAGACGUAGGGGGCCAGCGUUGUUCGGAAUUACUGGGUGUAAAGGGUUCGUAGGCGGUGUGGCAAGUCGGGAGUGAAAUUUCUGGGCUUAACUCAGAAGCUGCUUCCGAAACUGCUGUGCUAGAGUGCGGGAGAGGCGCGUGGAAUUGCAGGUGUAGCGGUGAAAUGCGUAGAUAUCUGCAGGAACACCCGUGGCGAAAGCGGCGCGCUGGACCGUUACUGACGCUGAGGAACG
This 693-nucleotide ribosomal RNA is filed under the name uncultured delta proteobacterium. RNAcentral describes it as "bacterial SSU rRNA". It matches the Rfam family "Bacterial small subunit ribosomal RNA", at positions 60 to 755 of the family's 1533-position model. The record is from RNAcentral. Lineage: Bacteria; Deltaproteobacteria.